AUACUUCAGCUCACCUUGACUCGGAGUCCUGGCCCGUCCUUUACAUCAUACGCACUCACUUUGUCUCUGCUUCAAUGGGCAAGGGAAACCGAAGCAACGCGUAUCUUUGGGCCACCCUCCAACCAUGUUUCACAUCUCUCUACAUCGCCUUCUUGCUGCACCACGUGACCAGCACGGUCGGCAGCAACUCUCCCUUUCCUUACAUACCAGAGGACGAAAUUAACCUUGACUGUGGCUCCUCCGGCAAUUCGACCGCACUAGAUGGUCGGACCUGGAUUGGAGACGAGAAUUCUAUAUUCUUCCCAGUUGAACAUCUUCAAAACAAUGCAUCUCUAACUGCAAGCGUUGUGCAGCAAUCCUCCUCUGCUACCCGAGUACCCUAUACAACAGCCCGCUUAUCUCUCUCCCCAUUCAGCUAUAUAUUCUCAUCAGUCACUGCAGGCCAAAAAUUGGUUCGACUAUACUUCUACCCAGCUACUUACGGCACCUUUGAUCGCUCUAAAGCCCGAUUUUCUGUCAAAGCUGGACCUUUUACUCUUCUUCGCAAUUUUAAUGCUGCGCUUAUGGCGGACCCUGAUUAUGAUUCCGGCCAUGACACCAUAUUUAGAGAAUUCUGUGUCAACAUCGAGGAAGGUCAGAGGCUGAACUUAACCUUAACUCCAAGCGAUUCCAAUUCAUUUGCUUUUGUCAACGGAAUUGAAAUCUUGUCAAUGCCUACUAAUCUCUAUUACACUCCGUCUGAUGAUCAAAGGCUCCCUUUUAUCGGCAAGAGCAGCCGUACCGAGUCGUUAAUGGAACUGCUCUCGAGAUGCUAUACAGAAUAAAUGUUGGAGGGAGCUUCAUCUCACCCGCCAGAGAUACAGGAAUGUUCCGUAGCUGGAAUUCGGACUACAAGUACUUGACAGAAGAUUUAACAUCUGAGCUACCAGUUAGUACUAUUGAACUAAACUUCAGCCAAAUACCUCCGUACACUGCACCGGAAGAAGUCUAUAGAACUGCCCGCACUAUGGGGAUCAACCGAUCCUCGAAUAAGUUAUACAAUCUCACUUGGCAACUUCCCGUGGAUUCUCAGUUUGAUUACCUUGUUAGGUUACACUUCUGCGAGUUUCAACCAGAGUUUAAAGCGGUGGGCGACCGACGAUUCCUCAUUUUCAUUGCAAAUCAAACCGCUGAGAGGGCAGCCGACGUGAUAAGAUGGAGCGGUGGGAGUGGGGUUCCCGUAUAUAGGGACUACGCUGUGUCGAUGUUUGGCAUAGAAAGCCAGAAAAGAGUGAACCUCUCUAUCUCCAUCUCUUCAGAUCCUGAACGGUACAGUGGUGCAAUCUUGAACGGUAUCGAAAUCUUCAAAGUCAACGACACCAAUGGAAAUCUCGCCGGACCCAACCCCAACACACUUCCGCUGACCCUUCCAACGGCAACAAAGUCAAAUAACAACAGAAUAAAAAUAACGGCCAUCGUCGGUGGCGGAAUUUCCGGCAUUAUUGUUCUGUUGAUUCUCGGAUUCUUGAUUCUCCGGCGAGCCAAGACCAGUUGGCGUUGGCGGCGUCCAUUUUCUUUCCAAACUUCCAAGUCAACAAAGACUCACGGAUCAUCGCUACCGUAUUUGUGCCGUAACUUCUCAUUGGCUGAGAUUAAAGCAGCCACCAAAAACUUUGACCAAAAUUCCAUUAUUGGUGUUGGUGGGUUCGGUGACGUGUAUAAAGGGUACAUACACGUUGAUGGUGAGGCCACCCAUGUUGCGAUCAAACGGUUGAAACCCGGUUCUCAACAAGGGGUCCAAGAGUUCAGAACAGAAAUUGAGAUACUAUCACAGCUCCGCCACCACCAUCUCGUUUCUCUAAUAGGAUAUUGCAAUGAUGGCAACGAGAUGAUCCUUGUGUAUGAUUUUAUGUCUGGUGGGACUCUUUGUAGUCAUCUCUACAACACUGAUAAGAGUCAUAAGACACCUCUUCCGUGGGAUCAACGCCUCCAAAUCUGUCUUGGUGCGGCACGUGCGUUAAACUACUUGCAUAUAGGUGCAGAGCACCCUAUCAUUCAUCGUGAUGUCAAAAGCACAAACAUUUUAUUGGACGAGAAAUGGUCAGCCAAGGUGUCCGAUUUUGGAUUGUCAAAAUUUGGUACUACUAGCACGUCCAAGGCCCAUGUUAGCACAGCUGUUAAGGGUAGUUUUGGGUAUUUGGAUCCGGAAUAUUAUCGACGCCAACAGUUGACAGAGAAGUCUGAUGUGUACUCUUUUGGUGUGGUGUUGUUUGAAGUGUUGUGUGCAAGGCCACCCAUCAUGCAUACGGUAGAGCACGAGGAGAUAAGUCUAGCAGAGUGGGCCCUGAAAUGUUAUCGCAAUGGUAAGCUUGGUCAGAUUGUUGAUCCAUUAUUGAAGGCUGAAAUUGAACCAGAGUGUUUGAAGAAAUUUGGCGAGAUUGCAGUGAAUUGUUUGCAUGACAAUGGAACCGAACGGCCAUCAAUGAAUGAUGUGGUGUGGGGUCUUGAGCUCGCAUUGCAGUUGCAAGGGAGUGCAGAAAAAGCUAUCUUCCAUGGGGAGCAAAGUUUUGCUAGUAAGGAAUAUCAGGAUGGAUUGAUGUCGAUGUUUUCUGAGAUUAUGAAUCCUAGAGGUCGAUGAAAGAUAUGCUAGCUAGCUGAAUUUUAAGAGUUUUAUUUGAGUGAUGAUUGCAACCUUGCAAACUAGCACAACAAUUCAUUUUAUUUCACUUAUUAUUAUUAAGCAACAUCAUAGUGGUAAUGCAGAUAUCUGAUAAGAAUACUUUAUAAGCAUAAACUUAUCAGCGUUCUUAUUGCAGUAACAUUCAGUUGUAUAAAAUUAUAGUUGUACGUUUUUCUAGGACGUGACAUAGAAUU
Molecule: RNA transcript, 2853 nt
Organism: Quercus lobata
Lineage: Eukaryota; Viridiplantae; Streptophyta; Magnoliopsida; Fagales; Fagaceae
Gene name: receptor-like protein kinase FERONIA
Exons: 1
Source: RefSeq, a predicted model, not a curated record